GACAGAGGCCUCGAGCGUUAGGCGGAAUCACUGGGCUUAAAGCGCGUGUAGGCGGAUCGUUAAGUGCCUUGUGAAAUCCUGCGGCUCAACCGCAGAACCGCUGGGCAUACUGGCGGUCUUGGGCCACUCAGGGGUCACUGGAACAAGCGGUGGAGCGGUGAAAUGCGUAGAUAUCAAGAGGAACACCUGAGGUGAAGACGGGUUGCUGGGCUGACACUGACGCUGAGGCGCGAAAGCCAGGGGAGCAAACGGG
Molecule: ribosomal RNA, 253 nt
Filed under: uncultured bacterium
Lineage: Bacteria
Description: partial 16S ribosomal RNA
Rfam family: Bacterial small subunit ribosomal RNA
Source: RNAcentral